Molecule: long non-coding RNA, 539 nt
Organism: Myotis lucifugus (little brown bat)
Lineage: Eukaryota; Metazoa; Chordata; Mammalia; Chiroptera; Vespertilionidae
Exons: 2
Source: RefSeq, a predicted model, not a curated record
CUGGGGGCUCGGUCCUCCGCGCCAUGCGGGAGGUCACCGAGCUGCGGGUCCGAAAGCCCUGGUGGGAAUCAGGCUCGGGACCUCCACCUCCGCCCGCCCCCGGCCACGCGGGGGCAGGAGAGCGGGGCAGAGAGGAAGGAAACCUACAGGUCACAGAGACCAAAAAUAACCGGGGAGAGGAAGGGCGAGCCUGCCAGCAUCAACUACCCUCUCUCCAGCGGGGCUAGAACACUUGCCCCUGCCCCUCGAGUAAAACCGCUUCCUAACCUCGGUUUUGCAUCUCACGAUCAUCUACUAAACAGCCAAGCCAGGACCACCGGAGCAAUCUGCCCCUCCACCUCCUAGAGCACGAAUGGCCCGGCUCCCCAUUUCUUCACUGUAAUUCAAGCCCCCCAGGACCCUCACCUUGAAACUUGGACUCAAAGAUUUAUACCCGACAAGUGGGGGAUGGGGAGGGAGGGAGGCUGUGUAAUUUAAAAAAGCAUAUUGAGCCUUAUAGUUUUAUAUGUGGGAAAUAAAAAUAGUCCUACCCCCCAAAA